GUACCAUUUAAUAAAUACUUCCUAAAUAGGAGUCCUAUUUUUUUUUUUAAGUGGCAAUUUCCCUUCAUUGCAAAUAAAGCAGGGAUCCUCAACCCGCAGGCCGUGCACCAGUACCAGUUCUCAGCUAGUUAGGAAGCAGGCCGCACAGCAAGAGAGAAUCCUCAGGUUCUAGGAUGGUAACGGAGACAACUCAUCACUAGGAGGUGAACCACAGAUGGUGAAAAGGUUGCCCUGGACCAUCCUCUCCCACUGAUACAGCUCCUCUGAUGAUGAAUAACCCCAAGCUGAGAUAGCUGGUGAUGAUGAGAAUUCUCCGUCAGUACCAAUGGAACUGCUGUUCUGAUCUUCAGGGGAUCAUGCCCUCAUUAGCACCACAUUCUUACCAAAAGAGCUACCACUCUUACACCCCGUCGUCAAAUCUCUACGAAUUUUAUCUAUUUGCUGGCCCAAGGAAAGAUGCAGAAACUGCUUGAAAAGAUUACUAUAAAUAGCCUAAUCACUGUAUCAACAAACAUGCUGAAUAAAAACUCUCAAAAAAUAAUUGUCCAUUUGCUUAGUAAUUAGUUACACCCUAGCAUUCCUUCAAAGGGAAGCAUGCCACAUGCACGGUGAUUUGUAUCUCUGUUAGCCACAUAAGCUCUGGAACAACAGGAAAUACAGAGGUAAAGGAACAGAAGUCCACUAAAACUGCUGCUUUGAAGACAGGGAUAUUUAUGCCAAGCUUUGUUGUUCUGAGGUUACUGAGUGACUCCUCUUUCGUCACCACUGAAGCUCUUAAGAGCUCUGAGCAGAAACGUUCAACCUACCUGGAUAUAUUGGAUUCCCUGGUCUACAGAAUAUAUAAUUCUAACAUCCUUGCCACUGUGUACACACACACACGCAGACAUUGUUUACUUGUUGGUAAUCACCACAAUCAAAACUGUGAAAAACUCUCACUGUGUUCGGCCAACACAAUUUUGAAACUUAGUCCUUGAGACACAGAUGGA
This is a long non-coding RNA of Bos taurus (domestic cattle), 986 nucleotides long. The record is from Ensembl. NCBI's taxonomy places the organism in Eukaryota, Metazoa, Chordata, Mammalia, Artiodactyla, Bovidae.